UACGGAGGGUGCAAGCAUUAAUCGGAUUUAUUGGGCGUAAAGGGCGCGUAGGCGGAUUUGUAAGUCAGAUGUGAAAUCCCGGGGCUCAACCUCGGAACAGCAUUUGAAACUGCAAACCUUGAGGGUAGGCGGAGAAGACGGAAUUCCACAAGUAGCGGUGAAAUGCGUAGAUAUGUGGAAGAACACCGGUGGCGAAGGCAGUUUUCUAGCUUACCCCUGACGCUGAGGCGCGAAAGCAAGGGGAGCAAACAGG
This 253-nucleotide ribosomal RNA is filed under the name uncultured bacterium. RNAcentral describes it as "partial 16S ribosomal RNA". It matches the Rfam family "Bacterial small subunit ribosomal RNA", at positions 524 to 776 of the family's 1533-position model. The record is from RNAcentral.